This is a long non-coding RNA of Salvia miltiorrhiza (redroot sage), 697 nucleotides long. RefSeq lists it as uncharacterized. The record is from RefSeq and is a predicted model, not a curated record. Lineage: Eukaryota; Viridiplantae; Streptophyta; Magnoliopsida; Lamiales; Lamiaceae. The transcript has 2 exons.
CUAACAAAUUAUAUUUGUGUUGAUUUAUCUCUCAUUCAGGAUGUGGGUCCCUUAAAGGGUUGUACCAACGGCAACAAGACAUUUUCAUUGAAUGUCGAGAUCCAACAAUCUUUGAGCAAAGAGAUAUUGACGCUCGAAAAGAGAUUACAAGACCAAGUUUCUGUUCGCGGUGCUCUCGAGAGGGCGCUUGGUUAUCGAGCUUCUUCACAUGACAUUACUAGUGAAGCCACAAUUCCAAAGGUUGCUGCCCUCUCUUUUACCAAAUUUUUCAACAGAACUCAUUAGAGAAAUUUCAGUUUUGGAGCUAGAAGUAGGGCAUCUCGAACAAUAUCUUCUUUCACUCUACAGGAAAGCAUUUGAUCCACAAGUUUCUACUGUAUCUCAGUUAAAGAAAGAUGAAGGAUUCAAAUCACCCUUAACAAUGCCAAGGAGAAGGUGCUUAGAUUUUUCAACAUCAGAUAUUACACCAGCCAAGGAAUCUACACUAGUUGUUGAAUUAUGUAAUUUUUUUCUAUAAUUUUAGUUUGAGAUUACUACUUAUUUGAUUUUUGGAGAGGGAGUGUGUGGUAUAAGAGGAAUUAACUGAGGAAGAUCAUUGUUGUUUGUGUUGUUUGUGGAUUGAUGCUUUGUUAUCUGUACAAUUUUUUAGUUUUAUUUUUUUGUGAAUAAUAAUUCACAUUUGCUUAUGUUUUAAAUA